UACGGAGGAUGCAAGCGUUAUCCGGAUUUAUUGGGCGUAAAGCGUCCGCAGGUGGCUAUUCAAGUCUGCUGUCAAAGCUCGGAACUUAACUCCGAAUCGGCGGUGGAAACUGAACAGCUAGAGUGCAGUAGGGGUAGAGGGAAUUCCCAGUGUAGCGGUGAAAUGCGUAGAGAUUGGGAAGAACACCGGUGGCGAAAGCGCUCUACUGGACUGCAACUGACACUCAGGGACGAAAGCUAGGGGAGCGAAUGGG
RNAcentral lists this ribosomal RNA (253 nucleotides) under uncultured bacterium. RNAcentral describes it as "partial 16S ribosomal RNA". It matches the Rfam family "Bacterial small subunit ribosomal RNA", at positions 524 to 776 of the family's 1533-position model. The record is from RNAcentral.